UACGGAGGGGGCUAGCGUUAUUCGGAAUUAUUGGGCGUAAAGGGCGUGUAGGCGGCUUUGUGUGUCCCAUGUGAAAGCCCUCGGCUCAACCGGGGAACUGCAUGGGAACUGCAGAGCUUGAGUACGGAAGAGGCGAGUGGAAUUCCUGGUGUAGCGGUGAAAUGCGCAGAUAUCAGGAGGAACACCAAUGGCGAAGGCGGCUUUCUGGGCCUUACCUGACGCUGAGGAGCGAAAGCUGGGGGAGCGAACAGG
Molecule: ribosomal RNA, 252 nt
Filed under: uncultured bacterium
Lineage: Bacteria
Description: partial 16S ribosomal RNA
Rfam family: Bacterial small subunit ribosomal RNA
Source: RNAcentral